AUGAGGUCACUUAUGGGCUUCAGAAAGCCAAUGAGCAUGUUCAACAGCAGUUAUUCGAAUCCAAAAGGCGUCACAUUGAGGAACUUCAGAAAGCCAAUGAGCAUAUACAUGUCCAUGAACCACCGUCUGAGUGCGCGUGAUGUUUUUACCCUCCUCGUUCAUAACACGACGGCUUUCGGGUCAAGCGAGUGCUUGCCACAGUACAUGUCCAUGAUGAGCUGCAUCAUCACGUUGCACUUUCAUCUCCCAGCUACCUUCAACAUCCUGCUGCCACCUGCACCUCUAGCUUUCGGUCAUCGUAUAAAUGUGCAGCUAGAGCUAGGUGACAUCAUUGCUGAGAUAUGUUCUCUGAUAUUUCUGCACGAGAACAAACCAGACCCAAUUGUUCAUGGAGAUCUUAAGCCCACCAACAUUCUCCUUGAUGCUAACUUAGUCAGCAAACUUAGUGGCUUCGGUAUCUCUCAUCUAUUAAACGAACCUAAGAGCAAAAGCACCAAGCAGCCUAUGGAGGACCCUACAUACAUUGACCCAGAAUAUCUUGCCACUCCGAAGAUUACACCUCACUUGUUUCCCUUUUUGCCGGCAUUCCAGUCUGUGGCCUUUCUGCACGAGAACAAACCAGACCCGAUUGUUCAUGGAGAUCUUAAGCCCACCAACAUUCUCCUUGAUGCUAACUUAGUCAGCAAACUUAGUGGCUUCGAUAUCUCUCAACUAUUAAACAAACCUAAGAACACAAUGGCUUUCAGGUCGAGCGAGUGCUUGCCACCGUACAUGUCCAUGAUGAGCUGCAUCAUGACGUCGCAGUUUCAUCUCCCAGCUACUUCCAACAUCCUGCUGCCACCUGCACCUCUAGCUUUCGGGCUAGAGCUAGGUGACAUCAUUGCUGAGAUAUGUUCUCUGAUCUUUCUGCACGAGAACAAACCAGACCCAAUUGUUCAUGGAGAUCUUAAGCCCACCAACCAUCUCCUUGAUGCUAACUUAGAAUUCCCAAUCCCCAACCACAGAGACACGCCGCCGCCCGCCAUUGCUACACCUCGCUCCCCCACUCACCGCCACCUGAACUCCCCGCUGCCGCCAAUCAUCCUCCCUCCUCUGGCAAGGCUAUCGCGUCUUCAUGGCACCUUCCCUGCUCUGUCUGUUCGCUCGUGA
This 1149-nucleotide ribosomal RNA is filed under the name Triticum aestivum (bread wheat). Its description in RNAcentral is "partial small subunit ribosomal RNA". The record is from RNAcentral. Lineage: Eukaryota; Viridiplantae; Streptophyta; Magnoliopsida; Poales; Poaceae.